This 36-nucleotide ribosomal RNA is filed under the name Leucocoprinus gongylophorus. RNAcentral describes it as "Leucoagaricus gongylophorus partial 28S ribosomal RNA". Lineage: Eukaryota; Fungi; Basidiomycota; Agaricomycetes; Agaricales; Agaricaceae. The record is from RNAcentral.
AUCUUGACCUCAAAUCAGGUGGGACUACCCGCUGAC